GCGUGCAGGAAGAAGGCCUUCGGGUUGUAAACUGCUUUUGUACGGAACGAAACGGUCCUGGCUAAUACCCGGGGCUAAUGACGGUACCGUAAGAAUAAGCACCGGCUAACUACGUGCCAGCAGCCGCGGUAAUACGUAGGGUGCAAGCGUUAAUCGGAAUUACUGGGCGUAAAGCGUGCGCAGGCGGUGCUGUAAGACAGGCGUGAAAUCCCCGGGCUCAACCUGGGAAUUGCGCUUGUGACUGCAGUGCUGGAGUGCGGCAGAGGGGGAUGGAAUUCCGCGUGUAGCAGUGAAAUGCGU
Molecule: ribosomal RNA, 300 nt
Filed under: uncultured bacterium
Lineage: Bacteria
Description: bacterial SSU rRNA
Rfam family: Bacterial small subunit ribosomal RNA
Source: RNAcentral